This 253-nucleotide ribosomal RNA is filed under the name uncultured bacterium. RNAcentral's name for it is "partial 16S ribosomal RNA". It matches the Rfam family "Bacterial small subunit ribosomal RNA", at positions 524 to 776 of the family's 1533-position model. The record is from RNAcentral.
UACGGGGGGAGCAAGCGUUGUUCGGAUUUACUGGGCGUAAAGGGCGCGUAGGCGGCGUGACAAGUCACUUGUGAAAUCUCCGGGCUUAACUCGGAACGGUCAAGUGAUACUGUCGUGCUAGAGUACAGAAGGGGCAACUGGAAUUCUCGGUGUAGCGGUGAAAUGCGUAGAUAUCGGAAGGAACAUCAGUGGCGAAAGCGACUUCCUGGACCAAUACUGACGCUCAUGUGCGAAAGCGUGGGGAGCAAACAGG